UCAAGAGGGAAACAACCCAGACUACCAGCUAAGGUCCCUAAAUCUUACUUAAGUGGAAAACGAUGUGAAGUUACUUAAACAACCAGGAGGUUGGCUUAGAAGCAGCCAUCCUUUAAAGAAAGCGUAAUAGCUCACUGGUCUAGUGAUUUUGCGCGGAAAAUAUAACGGGGCUAAAGUAAGUACCGAAGCUGUAGACUUGCGCACAACUUAGAUUAUUUAAGUUUAGAAUAUGAGAAACUAAGUUAUGUUUAGUUAUAUUUUUACUGAUUUUUAUAGAGUAAAGAUAGAAAUAAAACUUAGUAAAAUCAGUAAAAAUAUUCUUAGGCUAAAGUUAAGUAGUUUAAGUUGUGUGCAAGUGGUAGGAGAGCGUUCUAUUUGCGUCGAAGGUAUACCGGUAAGGAGUGCUGGAGCGAAUAGAAGUGAGCAUGCAGGCAUGAGUAGCGAUAAUUAAUGUGAGAAUCAUUAACGCCGUAAACCCAAGGUUUCCUACGCGAUGCUCGUCAUCGUAGGGUUAGUCGGGUCCUAAGUCGAGUCCGAAAGGGGUAGACGAUGGCAAAUUGGUUAAUAUUCCAAUACCAACAUUAGUGUGCGAUGGAAGGACGCUUAGGGCUAAGGGGGCUAGCGGAUGGAAGUGCUAGUCUAAGGUCGUAGGAGGUUAUACAGGCAAAUCCGUAUAACAAUACUCCGAGAACUGAAAGGCUUUUUGAAGUCUUCGGAUGGAUAGAAGAACCCCUGAUGCCGUCGAGCCAAGAAAAGUUUCUAAGUUUAGCUAAUGUUGCCCGUACCGUAAACCGACACAGGUGGGUGGGAUGAGUAUUCUAAGGCGCGUGGAAGAACUCUCUUUAAGGAACUCUGCAAAAUAGCACCGUAUCUUCGGUAUAAGGUGUGGUUAGCUUUGUAUUAGGAUUUACUCCGAAAGCAAGGAAACUUACAACAAAGAGUCCCUCCCGACUGUUUACCAAAAACACAGCACUCUGCUAACUCGUAAGAGGAUGUAUAGGGUGUGACGCCUGCCCGGUGCUCGAAGGUUAAUUGAUGGGGUUAGCAUUAGCGAAGCUCUUGAUCGAAGCCCGAGUAAACGGCGGCCGUAACUAUAACGGUCCUAAGGUAGCGAAAUUCCUUGUCGGUUAAAUACCGACCUGCAUGAAUGGCGUAACGAGAUGGGAGCUGUCUCAAAGAGGGAUCCAGUGAAAUUGUAGUGGAGGUGAAAAUUCCUCCUACCCGCGGCAAGACGGAAAGACCCCGUGGACCUUUACUACAGCUUGACACUGCUACUUGGAUAAGAAUGUGCAGGAUAGGUGGGAGGCUUUGAGUAUAUGACGCCAGUUGUAUAUGAGCCAUUGUUGAGAUACCACUCUUUCUUAUUUGGGUAGCUAACCAGCUUGAGUUAUCCUCAAGUGGGACAAUGUCUGGUGGGUAGUUUGACUGGGGCGGUCGCCUCCCAAAUAAUAACGGAGGCUUACAAAGGUUGGCUCAGAACGGUUGGAAAUCGUUCGUAGAGUAUAAAGGUAUAAGCCAGCUUAACUGCAAGACAUACAAGUCAAGCAGAGACGAAAGUCGGUCUUAGUGAUCCGGUGGUUCUGUGUGGAAGGGCCAUCGCUCAAAGGAUAAAAGGUACCCCGGGGAUAACAGGCUGAUCUCCCCCAAGAGCUCACAUCGACGGGGAGGUUUGGCACCUCGAUGUCGGCUCAUCGCAUCCUGGGGCUGGAGCAGGUCCCAAGGGUAUGGCUGUUCGCCAUUUAAAGCGGUACGCGAGCUGGGUUCAGAACGUCGUGAGACAGUUCGGUCCCUAUCUGCCGUGGGCGUAAGAAGAUUGAAGAGAUUUGACCCUAGUACGAGAGGACCGGGUUGAACAAACCACUGGUGUAGCUGUUGUUCUGCCAAGAGCAUCGCAGCGUAGCUAAGUUUGGAAAGGAUAAACGCUGAAAGCAUCUAAGCGUGAAGCCAACUCUAAGAUGAAUCUUCUCUAAGCUCUCUAGAAGACUACUAGUUUGAUAGGCUGGGUGUGUAAUGGAUGAAAGUCCUUUAGCUGACCAGUACUAAUAGAGCGUUUGGCUUAUCUUUAAUAAAGCAU
Molecule: ribosomal RNA, 2074 nt
Filed under: Campylobacter jejuni
Lineage: Bacteria; Pseudomonadati; Campylobacterota; Epsilonproteobacteria; Campylobacterales; Campylobacteraceae
Description: partial 23S ribosomal RNA
Rfam family: Bacterial large subunit ribosomal RNA
Source: RNAcentral